GUCGAACGAACUUAAUACAUUCUUUUAGAUUGUAAGCGGUUAGUGGCGGACUGGUGAGUAACGCGUGAGUAACCUGCCUAUUAGAGGGGAAUAACAGUGAGAAAUCAUUGCUAAUACCGCAUAUGCUCACAGUAUCGCAUGAUACAGUGAGGAAAGGAGCAAUCCACUAAUAGAUGGACUCGCGUCUGAUUAGCUAGUUGGUGAGGUAGAAGCUUACCAAGGCGACGAUCAGUAGCCGGACUGAGAGGUUGAACGGCCACAUUGGGACUGAGAUACGGCCCAGACUCCUACGGGAGGCAGCAGUCGGGAAUAUUGCGCAAUGGAGGAAACUCUGACGCAGUGACGCCGCGUAUAGGAAGAAGGUUUUCGGAUUGUAAACUAUUGUCGUUAGGGAAGAAAAAAGACAGUACCUAAGGAGGAAGCCCCGGCUAACUAUGUGCCAGCAGCCGCGGUAAUACAUAGGGGGCAAGCGUUAUCCGGAAUUAUUGGGUGUAAAGGGUGCGUAGACGGGUGUUUAAGUUGGUUGUGAAAUCCCUCGGCUCAACUGAGGAACUGCAACCAAAACUGGAUAUCUUGAGUGUCGGAGAGGAAAGUGGAAUUCCUAGUGUAGCGGUGAAAUGCGUAGAUAUUAGGAGGAACACCAGUGGCGAAGGCGACUUUCUGGACGAUAACUGACGUUGAGGCACGAAAGUGUGGGGAGCAAACAGGAUUAGAUACCCUGGUAGUCCACACUGUAAACGAUGGAUACUAGGUGUAGGGUGU
This 762-nucleotide ribosomal RNA is filed under the name uncultured bacterium. RNAcentral describes it as "bacterial SSU rRNA". It matches the Rfam family "Bacterial small subunit ribosomal RNA", at positions 61 to 830 of the family's 1533-position model. The record is from RNAcentral.